GACAGGACUUGAUCACUGAGUUGAUGUGGA
RNAcentral lists this non-coding RNA (30 nucleotides) under Callithrix jacchus (white-tufted-ear marmoset). RNAcentral also lists the same sequence under 1 other name. The record is from RNAcentral. Lineage: Eukaryota; Metazoa; Chordata; Mammalia; Primates; Cebidae.